GGAGGCGCUCAAAGGUUCCCUCAGAAUGGUUGGAAAUCAUUCGCAGAGUGUAAAGGCACAAGGGAGCUUGACUGCGAGACCUACAAGUCGAGCAGGGUCGAAAGACGGACUUAGUGAUCCGGUGGUUCCGCAUGGAAGGGCCAUCGCUCAACGGAUAAAAGCUACCCCGGGGAUAACAGGCUUAUCUCCCCCAAGAGUUCACAUCGACGGGGAGGUUUGGCACCUCGAUGUCGGCUCAUCGCAUCCUGGGGCUGUAGUCGGUCCCAAGGGUUGGGCUGUUCGCCCAUUAAAGCGGUACGCGAGCUGGGUUCAGAACGUCGUGAGACAGUUCGGUCCCUAUCCGUCGUGGGCGUAGGAAAUUUGAGAGGAGCUGUCCUUAGUACGAGAGGACCGGGAUGGACAUACCUCUGGUGUACCAGUUGUCGCGCCAGCGGCAUAGCUGGGUAGCUAUGUAUGGACGGGAUAAGUGCUGAAAGCAUCUAAGCAUGAAGCCCCCCUCAAGAUGAGAUUUCCCAACUUCGGUUAUAAGAUCCCUCAAAGAUGAUGAGGUUAAUAGGUUCGGGGUGUAAGCGCAGUAAUGUGUGUAGCUGACGAAUACUAAUCGAUCGAAGACUUAAUCAAAUU
This 624-nucleotide ribosomal RNA is filed under the name Mammaliicoccus sciuri. RNAcentral describes it as "Staphylococcus sciuri partial 23S ribosomal RNA". It matches the Rfam family "Bacterial large subunit ribosomal RNA", at positions 2302 to 2925 of the family's 2925-position model. Lineage: Bacteria; Bacillati; Bacillota; Bacilli; Caryophanales; Staphylococcaceae. The record is from RNAcentral.